This is a long non-coding RNA of Leopardus geoffroyi (Geoffroy's cat), 1854 nucleotides long. RefSeq lists it as uncharacterized. The transcript is spliced from 7 exons. The record is from RefSeq and is a predicted model, not a curated record. Lineage: Eukaryota; Metazoa; Chordata; Mammalia; Carnivora; Felidae.
CGAAACCCACCCCUGCCAGCGCUAGAGUCGCGGCUCUGUUGAUGACUUCUGGGAAGUGUUGGAAACAGGGCCUUAAAAAAAGAAUGGCGUCCAUUUACAUAAUGCUUUGUUUGCAUUUUGCAAGUUUCUUUCGGUUGAACCUACAGAAAUCCCACAGUGUCGUUUUUGUCGUGGCAGUCUCGACAGGCAUUUAGGACAAUGGUGUGCUCCUUUUGGGACCGCAUUUAGUCAGGGUUGCUGACUAGUGCUUGGAGAAUCCUUGCGAUUUCCCCCCCACAGUCUUCACUUUCCCGCUUCUGCGUUUCGGCCUUUCCCCCGUUUCCCCUUUUGGUGCGAUUGCCUCGCCCCGCUCCCCUUGGGGGCGGCCCCUGUCGGGCCCCGCCAUCUUGGAAGGCCUUUCUUGCCGGUUCGCCACCGCACGUCCCUCUCGCCAAAGAAAGGUCGCUUGGGAGGCUCGUAUGAAUUCACUUAGGCCCAGAGAGAUGAAGUGACUAAUUCAAGGUCACACAGUGGAGGAUGGAUUCCAGACCUUCUGAUUUCCUUAUUGACCUGCAGUAUCUUGUGUAUACGUGAUUGAAUUCCACACCACCCAUUUUACAGAUGAAGCCACUGAGAUAUGGAACAAUUGACUAAAUAGUCACUGCCCCACCCCUGGAGCCUCACACAUGACUCUUCUCCUCCCAUUUGAAUGACUGCAGGUGAUCUCAACUUCUCUGACAGCUCCACUUAACCAUCUACACAUGGAUGAUGCCCAGAUCUUUCUAUGGACCACAGUAUCCAACUGCUCAUGUAGACAACAUCACAAGGAUGUUUUGCAUACUCGGCAAAAUGCAGCCUCCUGCUCUUCCCCACUUGCUCCUCAUCCAUUGUCCUCAUCACAUGUGAAAAGUGGUCUUGUCACUGUAAAUAUGGUGGUUGAGAAUGUGACUCUGAUAUGAUGUGAUGUGAUAUGGUAUAUGAUUCUGGAGCCAGCCUGCUGGGGCCUGAAUUCGGUCAUAACCACUUACUGUGUGACCUUGGUUCUCUAAGCACAUGCUAUUGGAUAAUCCUGCCUGGAUCAGUCCUUUCCUCACCUUGGACUUCACCUUCUUUUCCUCUUUAUUCUAUCUGCUAAAGUUGCCAGCCAGCCUCUUUCACCCCAGAGGGGGAUCCGGCUCCUGAAAUCCCAGCCUAUGCUAGUGCCUCAUGCUUCCUGGGGGCUUGCCAAGAAAGUCAAGGAGUCUUCGACAGAAGCAACUUAAAUCUUCAUGGCUUCCCCAGCUCCUCACAGUUGGGUUCAUGGAUGCCCUUCACCCACUUGCUUCAACUUCUACUCUAUCCAUGUUCCUACCUUAAGUGUAGAGCAUUUUGUUUUGGAUCAGACUUUUGGCUUCAUUCAGGCCUCUGGGGUCCUUCCAACACAUUUCCCAGAAGGCUAUUCUAGGAAUGGUCUCCACCCCUCACCUCCUGAAAUUUGACAGGGUCUGGACCUCUCUUCUUUGUGAAAUUAGUGCAACUCUGUGGAAGUGUCUGGAUAUAUCACACCCCUUCCUGCCUCCCCAACCACCACACCCAUACAGAAGAUCUAGUGAUGUAGCUAGGAUCUGCUGAUCACCAGGACUUUGUAGCCAGUGCCCCCAGCAGGGAGGGACUCCUGGAUAGGUUUACUAUACUGUGAACGACACCUAUGUCCACUACUCUCUGCCUCUCUUCCAUCUCACCUUUAUUUUGUCUUUUCCCUAAGAAGACAAAGAUCUGUCCAGUUGUCCUGCCUUGACCCCCUAGUCUUAUCUUGGACUAGAACUCUGCUGUCAGCCCCUCAACAGGGGCUGGGGCUUUUGCUUUCCAGCCUCUCUAAGGUCAGGUCACUUCUCU